Molecule: ribosomal RNA, 429 nt
Filed under: Chloroflexota bacterium
Lineage: Bacteria; Bacillati; Chloroflexota
Description: Chloroflexi bacterium partial 16S ribosomal RNA
Rfam family: Bacterial small subunit ribosomal RNA
Source: RNAcentral
UGGGGAAUAUUGCACAAUGGGCGCAAGCCUGAUGCAGCCAUGCCGCGUGUAUGAAGAAGGCCUUCGGGUUGUAAAGUACUUUCAGUCGGGAGGAAGGUGUCAAGGUUAAUAACCUUGGCAAUUGACGUUACCGACAGAAGAAGCACCGGCUAACUCCGUGCCAGCAGCCGCGGUAAUACGGAGGGUGCAAGCGUUAAUCGGAAUUACUGGGUGUAAAGCGCACGCAGGCGGUUGAUUGAGUCAGAUGUGAAAUCCCCGGGCUUAACCCGGGAAUUGCAUCUGAUACUGGUCAGCUAGAGUCUUGUAGAGGGGGGUAGAAUUCCAUGUGUAGCGGUGAAAUGCGUAGAGAUGUGGAGGAAUACCGGUGGCGAAGGCGGCCCCCUGGACAAAGACUGACGCUCAGGUGCGAAAGCGUGGGGAGCAAACAGG